Long non-coding RNA from Eptesicus fuscus (big brown bat), 814 nucleotides. RefSeq lists it as uncharacterized. The record is from RefSeq and is a predicted model, not a curated record. The transcript has 4 exons. NCBI's taxonomy places the organism in Eukaryota, Metazoa, Chordata, Mammalia, Chiroptera, Vespertilionidae.
CCCGCCCGCGUCCGUCUCCGGUCCGAGGGACUCGUUUCCUCGCGUGCAGCGAGCCCAAUGGCAGAGCCUUCGCGAAGCAUUCAUUUUUACGAGUUUGGAUGGACAGCCUAUCAGCCAAAAUUUCUUGCUCUGAUUCUCAUUGGACAGAGAAACAGGUCUGGUGUAGCAGACCAGUGAACUUCAGCACCCAGGAUCAGGACUGGGGAUGAAAUUAAGGAAGAAAGGAGGCAGAAUGCUGGUAGUGAGAUAAAGAUCAACAGAGUGUCCUUCCGAGACAGCGCCUGUGAUCUGGGAGAAACCUGGGGCUACGUACACCCACUCUGGAAUUCACCAUUCCAAAACAGGAGAAUCAAGAAGUAAAGAUUUGUCUGUGUGCAAUACUAUAAAACACAUCGUUUUGCGCUGUACGAUAUUACCACGAGCACUUACUUACUAGUAACUGCAGCAGGCUGUUGCAAAUGACUGUAGGUGAGUGUAAAUCCAAAGGUGCCCCUGUGGACUUACACUCACAUUCAGGGCCAUCUUCUUCACUCAUUCACUUUCAAAGGUGUUUCCUGAUGUGAGAGAGCAGGAGGGAAUCAAAACUCAUAUCCAGCCGAAACCGGUUUGGCUCAGUGGAUAGAGCGUCAGCUUGCGGAUUCAAGGGUCCCGGGUUCGAUUCCGGUCAAGGGCAUGUACCUUGGUUGCAGGCACAUCCCCAGUAGGGGGUGUGCAGGAGGCAGCUGAUCGAUGUUUCUCUCUCAUCGAUGUUUCUAACUCUCUAUCCUUCUCUCUUCCUCUCUGUAGAAAAUCAAUAAAAUAUAUUAAAAAAAAA